AGCUCCAGUAGCGUAUAUUAAAGUUGUUGCAGUUAAAAAGCUCGUAGUUGGAUUUCUGGUAUGAGGUGCCCGGCCCGCCGUCCUUGACGGUGAGUGCUGGAGCGCUUCGACCAUCCUUCCGGAGAGCUGGUGCCCCUUCAUUGUGGCGCCAGUCAUUCGGAUCUUUUACUUUGAAAAAAUUAGAGUGUUCAAGGCAGGCGUUUUCGCCGUGAAUACAUUAGCAUGGAAUAAUGACAUAGGACUUUGGUUCUAUUUCGUUGGUUUCUAGGACUGAAGUAAUGAUUGAUAGGGAUAGUUGGGGGUGCUAGUAUUUAACGGCCAGAGGUGAAAUUCUUGGAUUCGUUAAAGACUAACUAAUGCGAAAGCAUUCACCAAGGAUGUCUUCUUUAAUCAAGAACGA
This 400-nucleotide ribosomal RNA is filed under the name phytoplankton environmental sample. RNAcentral describes it as "partial small subunit ribosomal RNA". It matches the Rfam family "Eukaryotic small subunit ribosomal RNA", at positions 587 to 986 of the family's 1831-position model. The record is from RNAcentral.